This 406-nucleotide ribosomal RNA is filed under the name uncultured bacterium. RNAcentral describes it as "partial 16S ribosomal RNA". It matches the Rfam family "Bacterial small subunit ribosomal RNA", at positions 29 to 526 of the family's 1533-position model. The record is from RNAcentral.
AUUGAACGCUGGCGGCAGGCCUAACACAUGCAAGUCGAACGAGUGGCGGACGGGUGAGUAAUGUCUGGGAAACUGCCCGAUGGAGGGGGAUAACUACUGGAAACGGUAGCUAAUACCGCAUACCAUCGGAUGUGCCCAGAUGGGAUUAGCUUGUAGGUGAGGUAACGGCUCACCUAGGCGACGAUCCCUAGCUGGGCUGAGAGGAUGACCAGCCACACGGGAACUGAGACACGGUCCAGACUCCUACGUGAGGCAGCAGUGGGGAAUAUUGCACAAGGGGCGCAAGCCGGAGGCAGCCAUGCCGCGUGGAUGAAGAAGGCUUGCGGGUUGUAAAGUACUUUCAGCGGGGAGGUGUUACCCGCAGAAGAAGCAACGGCUAACUCCGUGCCAGCAGCCGCGGUAAUAC